This 603-nucleotide long non-coding RNA is filed under the name Homo sapiens (human). RNAcentral's name for it is "non-protein coding lnc-JPH4-4:6". The record is from RNAcentral. Lineage: Eukaryota; Metazoa; Chordata; Mammalia; Primates; Hominidae.
GGGGCUAUCAGUCCAACUCCUCAGUUAAUAGCCAGGGAAACAGAAGCCCAGGGAGAUAAAGACGGUGGCAGAGGAGGAAUUCUUUCUUAGCAGAUCUUCCAUUCCUAAUCCAGGAUCAUUUCCAGGGCUCCCAGGUUCUCAAGAUGCUUGAAUCCUGGGACAAACACAGAGGAAGGAGCUCCUAAGGAUGGGGGCAGUGGUGAGGAAACAGGCCACUGAGACAGUGAUGGUGUUUGUAGGCAAAGAAGCUACUUGUAUUUGCCAACCACACCAGGAGGCCAGGAGAAAUCUUUUGCCACAUUUGGAGAAAGGAUUGAAGAGAAAUGAGAGCCUGGAUGUGAAGAAAACAUUAGGAAGCUGCAGCAGUAACCUAUGUGAGAAAUUAAGAGAACCUAAAUCAGAUCCGUUGGCCAUCAAGAUUUCACUCAUUUUGAGACCUAGAGAUUGGUGCUCCUGGAGCUGUGAAAUGCGUGGCCUCUGUAGCCCUGUCAAGAGAAGCUAUGCUGUACCCUCAACACUCUGCCUAGAGAUUUCUUCCAUGAAAUAUCCUAGUUCACAUCUGCCUCCUGCAAACUACUAGGACAUGGACACUGCUCAGCCAAG